Mus musculus (house mouse) is the source of this 1199-nucleotide long non-coding RNA. RefSeq annotates it as predicted gene, 38471. The record is from RefSeq and is a predicted model, not a curated record. The transcript is spliced from 2 exons. Lineage: Eukaryota; Metazoa; Chordata; Mammalia; Rodentia; Muridae.
GCAACCACAUGGUGGCUCACAACCAUCCGUAAUGAGAUCUGACGCCCUCUUCUGGGUGUCUGAAGACAGCUAAAGGGUACUGAAGAUUUGAAGCAGUUGUCCAAUGUCAGUCCCCACAUAGGGUUCGCUCUCUGUCUAAUCAUAGGCACCAACACCUCCAAAUCCGUGAAGCAAAAUGAAUCUUUCCUCCCUUAAAUGGAGUUUCUCUCAGUAACGGAAAGUCUAACUAACUGCAGACAGAAAUCUGAGCCUGGAAGUUCAGGAUUUAAAAACUCUGUGAUUAGACAGAGAGCAAACACUAUGUGGGGUCUGACAUUGGACAGACCUCCCCAACUCAUUGUUCAGCUGCAAACUGGAAGGCUUGUAGCCAUCACUAAUACAACUCAAGCCUCAUUCCUGACCCCGUUCCUUAUCUUGGUUUCAAUUCUCAAGCCAAAAAAUCUGUAAUAUUAUCUAUCUAUCCUCUGUUUUGAUACUGCUUUCACUUUUAACCUUCAAAAUCAUUCUAGAACUCAAUCUCUUUUCCCACAACCAUUACUGGUACUCUUUACUUUUUUUUUUAAUUAUCAUUUUAUGUGUAACGGUGUUUUGCCUCCAUAUCUGUCUAUGUAUCGUAUGUGCACAGUGCCCACAGAGGCCAGAAUAGGAAAUCAGAUCCUCCAAACUAGAGCUACAGACAGUUAUAAGCCACCAUGUGGGUGCUUGGAAUCAAACCCAAGUCCUCUGGAAGAGCAGCCAGUGCUCUUAACCACUCUGCCAUCUCUUUGGCACAUUUUGUUCCUCUUUUCUGAGCUACCAUUAUCUCUCACACAGAUUUUUUUUUUUUUUAUGUAUUAUGUAUACAGCAUUCUGCCUGCGGCCAGAAGAAGGCACCAGAUCUCAUUACAGAUGGUUGUGAGCCACCAUAUGGUUGCUGGGAAUUGAACUCAAGACUUCUGAAAGAGCACUCAGCUCACAGAUGCUUAUGACUGCCUCCUAAUAAGUUCCUGCUGGCAAUCUUCCUCUUAACCACUGCGGUCUUAGCACAGCUCUGAAUGUAACAGCAGAAACAACGUAGCAACAUUGUCUGUUGGGUGGGCAGCUGGAGAGUCAGGAGCUGCCAGAGCCUGGUGCAGUGUUCUUCCUGCAAUGUUGUAUCUCAACACUGUUCUAAGAACCUAAAACAAUCUGCUGAAAAACAAUGGUCUGCUCUCAUGGGA